AACUUUCGACAUCGGAUCACUUGGCUCUCGCAUCGAUGAAGAACGCAGCGAAAUGCGAUAAGUAAUGUGAAUUGCAGAAUUCAGUGAAUCAUCGAAUCUUUGAACGCACCUUGCACCCUUUGGCAUUCCGAAGGGUAUGCUCGUUUGAGUGUCAUUGUACUCUCACACUCCCGAUGCUUUUGGAUUGGGAGUGGUGGACUUGGGUGUUGCUGCUUUACUGUGGCUCACCUCAAAUGGAGUAGUGCAACUCUUGGUUGGACAUAGUACGGCGUGAUAAGUGUCUUCGCCGGCGCCUCAUUAGAGGGUGGCCGAUCGGGAGCUCUGUGCUUCAAACCGUCUUCGGACAACAUCUGACAACUUGACCUCAAAUCGAGUAGGACUACCCGCUGAACUUAAGCAUAUCAAUAAGCGGAGGCU
Molecule: unclassified non-coding RNA, 417 nt
Filed under: uncultured Sebacina
Lineage: Eukaryota; Fungi; Basidiomycota; Agaricomycetes; Sebacinales; Sebacinaceae
Description: sequence contains ITS2
Rfam family: 5.8S ribosomal RNA (bases 1-154)
Source: RNAcentral